Podarcis muralis (Common wall lizard) is the source of this 1627-nucleotide long non-coding RNA. The record is from Ensembl. NCBI's taxonomy places the organism in Eukaryota, Metazoa, Chordata, Lepidosauria, Squamata, Lacertidae.
AACGAGGCUUACAGGAGUCUUCCAGCUGAAUUCUAAGCAUGUUUAGGUGAAAACAGACCCUACUUAAAAAUCAGUUGGACUUAAUUCCAAGUAUGUGUGCUUACAACCACAGCUUUAGAAUUAUUUUAUAGUGAAACUGUUGAAAUGUGCCAAUACCAAAGCUCACAACCUUUCAUUUCUAUUGAAUAGGUAAACUGUGUGAAUAUCUCUGAAGCAGGAUACCUGCCAGCAAGCUACAUCUAAAUUGGUAUCAACCAGAACCAGACAGAUGCCAUGUUUUAUUAACCUUCUCAUUGUGGAAUACAGUGUAAACCAAAGAAGACACUAAUAUUUGGAUUUAUAAGUUGUAAGAAUUUCUCCAAAUGGAAGCCGGUGAAAAUUGAAUGGCUUGGUCACCUCUGUGAUUCAGAAUAAGGGUUUGUCCCAGAUACCAUUCCAUUAUCACAGGAGAGCCGUGGUUGCUGGUAAACAUCUCGCAGGUAGAACUCGUGUCAGUGCAGUGAAUGAUGAUUUAUCUUUGAGAGAGUCAGUAAUUAAAGGAUUUACUUGUGGGACUGUGAGUUCCUUCCUGUUGCAGGACAGAUAUCUCAGGUAAGUGAGUUAUGGGAUUCUGUGUAAUACCGCAAGCUUUCUUUUAGCAGACCUACAGUUAAAAACAGGGAUAUUACCUAGAUGUUUUCAGAUUGGAAUAGAAACCCACUGUGAUACUGUAGGGACACCCUUUAAUUAAAAGACAAACUACCGACUUCUGUCUUCCUGUUUGGUAUUCUUGAGGGUUUCCAUAAGCAGCAGUAAAGAGGUUACUAUGAAUCAGAGAAUUACAGAUUUGUAGAGUUGGGAGGGAGUCCCGAAGGUCCACACUCGAAGCAAAUUUCAUACACUUUCUAUCUAGUAACAGCCAACACUGGAUUUCCCCCCCCCCCCAUGAGUUCUUGUGGACAGUGCGUUCUGUUUGACAACUAGCUCUUUCUUAAAGAAGCUUUACGUUAAGCCUUAAAUCAAGAGUAGAAAGUGUGGAGUCCAGUCUAAUUUGCUCAUUUUCCUAGAUAUUGUCCUCCUUUUAAAAUGGGUCUAUUGACAUAGAAAGCCUCCUCUGUAUUAUUUAUUUUCUUACACUUAUAUGCCAGCUUUUUCUAUCUUGGAAAGGAAGUCAGAAACAGUUUAACUUUUGAAAAUGUGUGUUUUUUUUAAAUCUUCUUUGCAGAAAGGUUGUUUGUCCUUUUGAGGCACCACUGCAGAACCAAAACAGGACUUUCCCCCUCUUUUCGUGUAGCGAGACUUGCGUUUUUUCAGUCAUCCAGACUAUAAUUCUCUAAGUCAAGCUGAUCUGCAUAUGGCUUCUGUUAUUGGCUGUGUUUAAUUGCUGUACUUAGUUUUUAGUUCCCUAUGUCCGUCCCCCCCCCUUAAAACCCACAUGAUGCUGAUUCCCAUGAGUCUGUGAAGAUUCUGAAUUGGCAUCAUAUGCGGCAGUCUGAUGAAGUGAUAAGUAUUUCACACUCUGGUUCUUCAUCUUUUAUGGUGUGCAAGUUAAAGAUCCCUUUCAUACUCAAGUAAAUGAAUAAAAAGAACCCCUUUUCACAUCUGGAAGACCUUGUGUAUCUUUGGCCAAUGAGACUAUAUGACAUCA